GAUGAACGCUGGCGGCGUGCCUAAUACAUGCAAGUCGAGCGAACAGACGAGGAGCUUGCUCCUCUGACGUUAGCGGCGGACGGGUGAGUAACACGUGGAUGACCUACCUAUAAGACUGGGAUAACUUCGGGAAACCGGAGCUAAUACCGGAUAAUAUAUUGAACCGCAUGGUUCAAUAGUGAAAGACGGUUUUGCUGUCACUUAUAGAUGGAUCCGCGCCGCAUUAGCUAGUUGGUAAGGUAACGGCUUACCAAGGCAACGAUGCGUAGCCGACCUGAGAGGGUGAUCGGCCACACUGGAACUGAGACACGGUCCAGACUCCUACGGGAGGCAGCAGUAGGGAAUCUUCCGCAAUGGGCGAAAGCCUGACGGAGCAACGCCGCGUGAGUGAUGAAGGUCUUCGGAUCGUAAAACUCUGUUAUUAGGGAAGAACAAAUGUGUAAGUAACUAUGCACGUCUUGACGGUACCUAAUCGGAAAGCCACGGCUAACUACGUG
RNAcentral lists this ribosomal RNA (497 nucleotides) under uncultured bacterium. RNAcentral's name for it is "partial 16S ribosomal RNA". It matches the Rfam family "Bacterial small subunit ribosomal RNA", at positions 28 to 507 of the family's 1533-position model. The record is from RNAcentral.